RNAcentral lists this transfer RNA (65 nucleotides) under Cipangopaludina chinensis. Its description in RNAcentral is "tRNA-Asp". The record is from RNAcentral. Lineage: Eukaryota; Metazoa; Mollusca; Gastropoda; Architaenioglossa; Viviparidae. RNAcentral also lists the same sequence under 1 other name.
AUAAAGUUAGUUAAAUAAUAAUCUAAGGUUGUCAACCUUAAGUUGCUAAUAAUUAGUACUUUUUA